This 52-nucleotide ribosomal RNA is filed under the name Holdemanella biformis. Its description in RNAcentral is "partial 23S ribosomal RNA". Lineage: Bacteria; Bacillati; Bacillota; Erysipelotrichia; Erysipelotrichales; Erysipelotrichaceae. The record is from RNAcentral.
AGUGCAGUGAUGUACGGAGUUGACUGGUACUAAUCGGUCGAGGACUUAAUCA